RNAcentral lists this transfer RNA (74 nucleotides) under Hazenia capsulata. RNAcentral's name for it is "tRNA-Ile". It matches the Rfam family "tRNA". From Rfam's summary of the family: Transfer RNA (tRNA) molecules are approximately 80 nucleotides in length. Their secondary structure includes four short double-helical elements and three loops (D, anti-codon, and T loops). The record is from RNAcentral. Lineage: Eukaryota; Viridiplantae; Chlorophyta; Ulvophyceae; Ulotrichales; Hazeniaceae.
GGGCUAUUAGCUCAGUUGGUUAGAGCGCGUUCCUGAUAAGAACGAGGUCACUGGUUCAAAUCCGGUAUAGCCCA